CCUACGGGAGGCAGCAGUGGGGAAUUUUGGACAAUGGGCGAAAGCCUGAUCCAGCAAUGCCGCGUGCAGGAUGAAGGCCUUCGGGUUGUAAACUGCUUUUGUACGGAACGAAAAGCUUCGGGUUAAUACCCUGGAGUCAUGACGGUACCGUAAGAAUAAGCACCGGCUAACUACGUGCCAGCAGCCGCGGUAAU
Molecule: ribosomal RNA, 194 nt
Filed under: uncultured bacterium
Lineage: Bacteria
Description: partial 16S ribosomal RNA
Rfam family: Bacterial small subunit ribosomal RNA
Source: RNAcentral